UACGAAGGGGGCUAGCGUUGCUCGGAAUCACUGGGCGUAAAGCGCACGUAGGCGGCUUCUUAAGUCAGGGGUGAAAUCCUGGAGCUCAACUCCAGAACUGCCUUUGAUACUGAGGAGCUCGAGUCCGGGAGAGGUGAGUGGAACUGCGAGUGUAGAGGUGAAAUUCGUAGAUAUUCGCAAGAACACCAGUGGCGAAGGCGGCUCACUGGCCCGAUACUGACGCUGAGGUGCGAAAGCGUGGGGAGCAAACAGG
Molecule: ribosomal RNA, 253 nt
Filed under: uncultured bacterium
Lineage: Bacteria
Description: partial 16S ribosomal RNA
Rfam family: Bacterial small subunit ribosomal RNA
Source: RNAcentral